RNAcentral lists this small RNA (118 nucleotides) under Caballeronia glathei. RNAcentral's name for it is "Burkholderia glathei Guanidine-I sequence". It matches the Rfam family "Guanidine-I riboswitch aptamer". From Rfam's summary of the family: This family represents a conserved RNA structure found upstream of the ykkC and yxkD genes in Bacillus subtilis and related genes in other bacteria. The record is from Rfam by way of RNAcentral. Lineage: Bacteria; Pseudomonadati; Pseudomonadota; Betaproteobacteria; Burkholderiales; Burkholderiaceae.
CAAAUGGACGACUAGGGUUCCGGUCCGCCGCAAGCAAGCCUUGCGCGGAUGCUGGUCCGAGAGUUGUCGACCUCAGAGGCGCAUCGAGGUUACACGGCGGGAUAAAAGCCCGGGAGAG